This is a long non-coding RNA of Peromyscus maniculatus bairdii (prairie deer mouse), 1409 nucleotides long. RefSeq lists it as uncharacterized. The record is from RefSeq and is a predicted model, not a curated record. NCBI's taxonomy places the organism in Eukaryota, Metazoa, Chordata, Mammalia, Rodentia, Cricetidae.
GCUAAACUGUCUUUACAGCCCUAUGUGAUAGAUCCAGUCCCAUUCCUUCCCUGGGGCUGUCUGAAGAUUGCACUGUGGAGUCAGUGGAAGGAAAUUAUCAUCUCCAAGAGCCCAAAGGCAAGUAAAUCAUCCUUUUCAUGGUUUAUUGCAUUAUUACCAGGUCACUUGGUCAGGGAUAAGAAAUCGGAGAAAUAAGAGACUCCGAAGAGACUCUCUGAGUUGUGCACAGCAUUAGAAUAUGAGUCCAAGGCACAGCUUGCACCUACAAUAUGUCUUUUGAUGAUUUGCCCCAUUCACUUUUAAAGCCAGGAAGGUGACAAUAAAAAGACUCUGCAUCAUGUAAAAUGACAUGCUUUAUUUUUCAUAUUUGUUCCCUCAAGAAGCAGCAUUGCGAAGAAAUAGCACCUCUGAAAGCCAGGGCCUGCAUCAUUCAUGAGCUCUGCGUGGCUCUGGCAGGGAAGCAGAUACUUCAGUUCUCAAAACUCAAGACACAAUUUACCUUUUAUCGGAGCCUUGUUGUAAAUCCUGUUUGUACAUGUGUAUACAGAGCCGUUUUAUAUUAGAUGCCUCGGCCAUAAGAGAUGGUUACGUGCUGCUGCUGUCAAUCAGAACAAGACCCUGGUUCAUAAAAGGGGGUUUCUUUGGAUAAGAGAGGCCUAAGGGUGACAAAAGGCCACCCUGUUGCCAGCUAGUCUCAAGCUCCUAGCAUUCAAAUACCCACUGCAUUAGUUAGCUAUAUGACAUCCACUCUGAGGGAGGGGGAGAGAAAAGGACCCUGUAAGUUCAUGUAACACUGACAUUGCUGCUUUAUUCUCUCAGGAAAAUAUCACCACAUGGUCUUUAUUUAAUCCAAAUCAACUUGUUGUCCUGUCUAAUAUCACUGAGUUUCUAGAGCUAAUCAGUUGCACAUAUGGCUCCUUCCUUGGGUCCUUAGUGUGCGGCUUUCCUGAACAUGCAUUCAGCAUCCAGUGUCUGGACGGCACCAAGCUGCCCUUCUCUCCUUGGUCUACAGCCAGCUGGAAUUUGCCUGUUACCUGGACAAAUCUGCUCGGGGAGACCAUCACUCAAGCUCUCCUCUGCUUGAGGCCUUCAUCUCGGGUGAAAAUCUCCUUCCCACAUCCCUGUUCGUGAUCCACCGCUUCGGUUUCGUGGCCUGUGUGACACCCUCCCACUAUGCACUUCUCGUGCCCAUGCUGCCCAGCUGCCUGACUAACCAAUGGGACACUAUAACCUUCUCAUACUAUGCCAAGAAGUACUCAGGAAGCCUCAGACUCCUACUACAACCCCAAGCUCCUUUUGGAGGAAAAGGACUUCAAGGUGCUGGAAAUGAAGACUGCUUCUUCCCGGAUACACUCUUGCCUUUGCUCAUAAUCCUGGAUGGACAGACAUGCAAAUCGGUCAAAUCAAAC